Molecule: ribosomal RNA, 399 nt
Filed under: uncultured bacterium
Lineage: Bacteria
Description: partial 16S ribosomal RNA
Rfam family: Bacterial small subunit ribosomal RNA
Source: RNAcentral
AAUAUUGCGCAAUGGAGGAAACCCUGACGCAGCGACGCCGCGUGAGCGAUGAAGGCCUUCGGGUCGUAAAGCUCUGUCCUCAGGGAAGAAAAUGAUGACGGUACCUGAGGAGGAAGCACCGGCUAACUACGUGCCAGCAGCCGCGGUAAUACGUAGGGGGCAAGCGUUGUCCGGAAUUAUUGGGCGUAAAGGGUGCGUAGGCGGCCUUUUAAGUCAGAUGUGAAAGCCCACGGCUUAACCGUGGGACUGCAUUUGAAACUGGAGGGCUUGAGUAUCGGAGAGGGUAGUGGAAUUCCCAGUGUAGCGGUGGAAUGAGUAGAUAUUGGGAGGAACACCAGUGGCGAAGGCGACUACCUGGACGAAAACUGACGCUGAGGCACGAAAGCUAGGGGAGCAAAC